This 47-nucleotide non-coding RNA is filed under the name Trichobilharzia regenti. Lineage: Eukaryota; Metazoa; Platyhelminthes; Trematoda; Strigeidida; Schistosomatidae. The record is from RNAcentral.
AUCCAGUGACGAGUCCCAAACAGGACGAAAUGCGCAUUAUCCUAGAU